GAUGAACGCUGGCGGCGUGCCUAAUACAUGCAAGUCGAGCGAAUGGAUUAAGAGCUUGCUCUUAUGAAGUUAGCGGCGGACGGGUGAGUAACACGUGGGUAACCUGCCCAUAAGACUGGGAUAACUCCGGGAAACCGGGGCUAAUACCGGAUAACAUUUUGAACCGCAUGGUUCGAAAUUGAAAGGCGGCUUCGGCUGUCACUUAUGGAUGGACCCGCGUCGCAUUAGCUAGUUGGUGAGGUAACGGCUCACCAAGGCAACGAUGCGUAGCCGACCUGAGAGGGUGAUCGGCCACACGGGGACUGAGACACGGCCCAGACUCCUACGGGAGGCAGCAGUAGGGAAUCUUCCGCAAUGGACGAAAGUCUGACGGAGCAACGCCGCGUGAGUGAGGAAGGCUUUCGGGUCGUAAAACUCUGUUGUUAGGGAAGAACAAGUGCUAGUUGAAUAAGCUGACACCUUGACGGUACCUAACCAGAAAGCCACGGCUAACUACGUGCCAGCCGCCGCCGUAA
RNAcentral lists this ribosomal RNA (515 nucleotides) under uncultured bacterium. RNAcentral describes it as "partial 16S ribosomal RNA". It matches the Rfam family "Bacterial small subunit ribosomal RNA", at positions 28 to 523 of the family's 1533-position model. The record is from RNAcentral.